Molecule: long non-coding RNA, 2159 nt
Organism: Mirounga angustirostris (Northern elephant seal)
Lineage: Eukaryota; Metazoa; Chordata; Mammalia; Carnivora; Phocidae
Exons: 2
Source: RefSeq, a predicted model, not a curated record
CUGGCGUCCGGCGGCGGCCUGCGACGCCCACGGUUCCGCGGGCCGGAGCGGGGCUGUAGCGUUUCCGGGUGGCCCACGCGUGCCGCUUGCGGCCCUUUUCCGAGCAGGCCUUGACAUUAGACCACUUACCGCCCUGGACCCUUGCUCGCCUCCGCGCUUUGUCCCGCGUCUGGAGAAUGGGACGGAUGUCUUAACGUGGAGCCGGGGGCCAGGGGCCGCGCACCGUCCUCCCGUCCCUGCCUCCGACUCCUCGUCUCGGCGGCCCCCUGUGACGCCCUGCUCCUCCCCACGUUCGUCGUGGCCUGGCUUGUGCUCCGAGCGCUCGUGGCUUUUAUCGUUCCAGCUGGACUAGGGACGCUUAAGCCAGGGUCCUUGGCCGGGGCUCCUGGGCGCCGUGACCCGCUUCCCGGUUACACGCGGGGUAGGCUGUGUUGGUGCCCCUUUGAUUGGGGGUGGGGUGCCUUUCAUCAGACCCCGAUGCUGAGAACCCUCGGAGGAAGGCUCCCCGCAGCACCAGCUGCGUCUGCCACCGACGCUGGAAGGGCAGCCAGGAGAGCCUGAGCAAUGUCACAAUGUCACAGAGAUGGGGGUGGGUUGUGGGGUAUCAGCUUCUGCCUGUACUCAGCUAGCCUUCUGCCCCCCUCAUCAAGGUGAGUGUUUUUGGAAGAUCCCUCCGACUGCAGCCAGAGCCGGAUGGCUGUUCCUGUGAGGCAUGUGGGGGCAGGAGGGAGUUGGGCAGGCAGGAAAGGAAACAGCAAAAGCUGGAGUAGAAAUCUGAACCCUUUGGGGAAACUUUCUGGGCCUCAGUUUGUCCAUUUGUAAGGUGUGGGAGUUGUACUCCAUCUUUAAGUUGUACUCCACCUCUGACUCAAAGUCACCACUCCAGGUAGGUGAGAAUUUAUACGUGAUUGUAGCGGGGAGAGAGAAAGAUAACGUGAAGGAAGGGAGACGGGAGAGAGUGAGGCAGAGAGAGCAAAGGGGACAUGGAAGAGCAGGGUUUCAAGGGCAGAGCAGGACCCAGAGGCCUGCCCAGGUCAGAGAGCCAUCCCUAGAUUCAGACCCUCAAUUGUACUGCUGUGUGACCUUGGGCAGUUCACCCAGCUCCCUAGGCCUCAGGUUCUGCCUAAUUCAGGGAUACCAGUACUAUUAAUGCUAGGUGACACUGUCUUUGGGUCUUAGGGGAUCCCACAGGAUGCUGUAACUCUGAAAAAAAUAUGCAUUGACUUCUAUACAUAUAAAAUAAUUUCUGGAAAGAUACACAAGUUGGUGACAUGGUUUGUUUCAUGGGAGUUGAACUGGGUGGCUGGCUGGUGUUGUGGGGCGAGGGCGCAGAGCUUUGGAAGCGAACUUUCUUUAACUGUUGUUCUUUUUUGAACAAUAUGGCAAGUCAGAGAGAGAUGUCAGACCUUCAUGUCUCUGCACUGGUCAUGACUGGGUACACACCAGACUUGAAGGCAGAGGGAGCAUUAGGAAGGGCAUGCUCUGCAUUCCAGGACACCUAAGUUCUCACUGCCACCAACACACACUGGGUUUUAGUUGCUUCAUCCGUAAAUCUGGGGACCAGUGAGGGCUUUAUAGAGGGCAAAGCAAGAUCUUAGGAUCCCACUGGCCUGCAUUUGGAUCCUGACUCUACCUUUGACUAGUGAGUUUGGGUGAAUCACGUCAUCUCUCAGAACCUAAUGUUCUCAUCUGAAAAAUGGGGAUUGAUUAACAACACCAGCCUGUGUGCAGAGGGACAGCCCAGCAUGUUUGUCAGUGCUCCCGAAGUGCUGUUUCCAUGUUUCCCCUCUCCCAGCUUUGAAGAGCCCAUGACUGGCAGGCUGGAGGAAUGUAACCAACUAGUUAGUGUUUGUUGUUCUCAUCCCACAGAGUUUAAUUUCAUUAAAAGUUCUUUAGAAUAUGUGAUGCUGGGAGUGCAUGUCAAGGAGCACAGAGCUUCAGUUUACAGAACAAUCAGACAGGGGAUUAUGUAAAAAUAGCUGAGCAGGUGGAGGCUCAAAGCAGGCAUUCCAUAUGCUGGGGGGUGGGGUGGCGGUGAGAUCGCUGGUGGCCGGCCUCCUGUCCCCCGGUGGUGAGAAGGGUGAUUACAAGUCAGCAUCACAGCCUAAUGGUAAUCUGGACCUGGCUGUUUGUGGAUGCUGCACUGAGGCAUUAGACAC